GAAGGGUGUUAUUUUUUCAGAUGUUCAGCCCACAAGACCUUACUGGUGAAGGAAUGGGACAAGACCCAUCUUUAUGCAAAGCCAGCGUUACAGUAAUGUCCCAGCAUCUCAUAAUCUAUCCUGGGGAAUUCAGCUGCCUCCCAGGGUGAAUACAGGUAUUCCUGAUGACAGUCUGCCUUCUAUCUUACAGAGCAGCUUGUUGCUAUAUACCAUUGAAAAGCCUUCAGAGCUGAGAGGUACUACUAACCAAUAACCUGCUUGGCUCAAAGGGCCAGCACCUUCUCUCUAAAGCCCAAGAGGAGUUUGAGGAAAACUAGGUGUCUGUGUUCACUCCAGGCUGAAGUUACAGGUCUGAGCAAAUAAGGUGUAUAAAAAAUGGAAUCUGUCUUGGAGGACAUCGGAAGGUGAAUUUUCCAAGUCCUUGGACAACCUAGCUGUUGAAAAGCUUUCUGGGUUUGGGGAGUAUUUCAGAUGUACCUUAAAGUGUUAGCAGACACAGAUUAAGACACUGGGAGCCAAUGAAACAGCAGUUGAGGGUUUGCUGUGUAUCACAUUUCUGUAUUUUAUCACCCCCUUCCUGCAACAUUAUUUCUCUGGAAUCUACCUGCCCUUUUGUUUUUUAGAUACAAGGGCUUGGUUUUGUUACCCAGGCUGGUUUCAAGGCCAUAGCUUUAAGAGAUCCUCUCACCACAGAUUUCCAAAGUGCUGGGAUUGCAGGUGUGAUUCAUGGCACCCAGACUUUGCUGCCUUUCUUACAUAAUCCAGGCCCAGAACCCAAACUCAGGCACUGCAUAGAUGACCAGUUUUGUAAACUACUGACCUAGCUUGUUGCCAAUUGUUGAUUGAACUUCCCAUAACUCCACUUCGUGUCUGUUCCUCUGUAUACAGCCACCUUCUGUUCCCAUCAUGAGCCUUUAGGUCUCCAUUUGCAUAUUGCAAAUACUAUGUUCCAUGUAGGUAGCUCAUGCAGGGCCUUGCUCUUCACUUCAAAAAAGGUUCCCUUGAGGACUGGCUGUCAAUUUGUGUUGCUGUGUUGGUUGUUGAUGAAAAUAAUAAAAUGAUUGAUUACAUA
This 1072-nucleotide long non-coding RNA is filed under the name Pan troglodytes (chimpanzee). RNAcentral's name for it is "lincRNA". Lineage: Eukaryota; Metazoa; Chordata; Mammalia; Primates; Hominidae. The record is from RNAcentral.